UUAAUUUCAACUACUACCUCUAUUAGGAUUUGGGAGUUAUACUCAUAGAGGUAGUAGUUGAAAUUAAGAG
This is a microRNA precursor of Aotus nancymaae (Ma's night monkey), 70 nucleotides long. NCBI's taxonomy places the organism in Eukaryota, Metazoa, Chordata, Mammalia, Primates, Aotidae. The record is from Ensembl.